Molecule: long non-coding RNA, 637 nt
Organism: Oncorhynchus nerka (sockeye salmon)
Lineage: Eukaryota; Metazoa; Chordata; Actinopteri; Salmoniformes; Salmonidae
Exons: 3
Source: RefSeq, a predicted model, not a curated record
AGAAUCAAGCAGACCAUUGUAAGGAUGUCUCUGAAAUCUAACACAGGAGCUGACCUCAAUGACCCAGUGGUAAAGGAACAGAUGUUGGAGCAGAUAAGAAAGGAGUUUGUGAAGAAUGGUAACUUCAUCCAAGGCCUACGCUGGAGAGAACUGCCGAAUGGAGAUGUUUUUCGCAAAACAGUUGAACUUGGAAGCCCUGAUGAAGGUCAGUGUGGGUCUGGAUGAAGAGGACCAGUAAAGGCGAUGCAGAAGGAGAGGCAUGGAAGGUCCAAGGAAACCACAUUAUAUAUUAUAUACCUUAUAAUACGUAAUACAAUAUUAUUCUUGUUAAUGUCAUUCAAGUUAUGAUAGUUCGAUUUGUCGUAUGAAGGUAAAAUUAUGAAGUCAAUUUACAUUAGGAUUAAUUUAGACUUUACAAUGUUUGACUAAUAUAACACCAAAUUAUAAUCUAAGAUAUUUGUUGGUGUAUGAAUGUAAUGUAAUAAUGUUUGUUGUACAUCAGGGCAAUUUGGUUAGUGAAGAGAAGAGGAAUUAAAAGGACAUUUGUGGUUUUUCAAGUCUGUUGUUAAGGACAUUUCAGUCAGGGACUUGCAUUGUAAUGAGAAAAAUUAUGUUACACACUCAAUUAUGGAUGCGA